CCCCCCCCCCACCCACAGGCCCGGCCCGCACCCGCGACCAUCCCCUCCAGCGCCCUGACCUCCCGCUUUUUUCCCCCACGUAGCUCUUCCUUCUCCAUCUUCCUCCGGGUCAGGGAGGGGGUCGGGGCGGUGCCAGGGGGGGAGGGCGGCCAGGCCUCCGGAGGCGUAGGGUCAGGGGGGAGGUCCCACAGGGGGCCUGCGGCCCAGACAACCAGGGGACCAUCGGUGGCGGCGACUCUGGACUCGAGCAGGGCCCUUCCCGUGGAUCGCCCCAGCUGCAGCAGCGGGUGGUGCAACCGCCCUCAGGUAGCCCUGCGGGUGGGCAUGUAGCGCCCAGGUUUCCAGCCACAGCCACCCGCGCUGGUCUUUCCCUGCGGGCCCACCCCGGGGUCCGCGGUUCCCCGUGGUGCCUUGCUUCGGCCAGGGCCUAGCAGCUGAUUUUAGAACUGGUGCAGACAGGGGAAUCCAAAUGUUUAAUUCAAAAAAGGCAUCGUGAAGGCCCGCGGCGGGUGUUGAUGCGAUGUGAUUUCUGCCAAGUGCUCUGAAUGUCAAAGUGAAGAAAUUCAAUGAAGCGCAGGUAAACGGUGGGAGUAACUAUGACUCUCUUAAAGUAGCCAAAGGCCUCCUCAUCUAAUUAGUGACACGCAUGAAUGAAUGACUGAGAUUCCCACUGUCCCUACAUACUAUCCAGCGAAACCACAACCAAGGGAAUGGGCUUGGCAGAAUCAGUGGGGAAAGAAGACCCUGUUGACCUUGAAUCUACUCUGGCACGGUGAACAGACAUGAGAGGUGUAGAAUAAGUGGGAGGCCCCUGGCGCCCCUUCCCUGAGAGCCGGGGUGGACCAGACAGGACAAUUCAGUCUUAGUCUCUGGCUGUCGAUUAGAGUGACAUGCAGUGUGACUAUUUUUUUAUUUAAGUAUUUUAUUUAUUUAUUUUAUUUUAUUAUUUUAAUUUAUUAUUUUAUUUCAUUUUAUUUUAUUUAUUUAAUUUUUUAUUUUAUUGUAGUUAUAUUUUUAUUUUAUUUAUUUUCUUAUUUUAUUUAUUUAAUUUAUUUAUUUUAUUUAUUUUAUAUUAUUUAUUUAUUUAUUUAAUCUAUUUUAUUUUAUUUUAUUUAUUCUAUUUUAUUUUAUUUUAUUUAU
This 1140-nucleotide non-coding RNA is filed under the name Myotis brandtii (Brandt's bat). RNAcentral describes it as "Eukaryotic large subunit ribosomal RNA". It matches the Rfam family "Eukaryotic large subunit ribosomal RNA", at positions 1988 to 2589 of the family's 3401-position model. Lineage: Eukaryota; Metazoa; Chordata; Mammalia; Chiroptera; Vespertilionidae. The record is from Rfam by way of RNAcentral.